Molecule: long non-coding RNA, 774 nt
Organism: Lingula anatina
Lineage: Eukaryota; Metazoa; Brachiopoda; Lingulata; Lingulida; Lingulidae
Source: RefSeq, a predicted model, not a curated record
UGAUAGAACAGUAUGUGCACUGGAAUGAAGAUAUAGGGGAGUGGCAGUUGAAGUGUGUGGCCUACACUGGAAAUAAUAUGAGGAAACAGACACCACUGCCUGAGAAGGAAAAAGAUAAACUUGCAGAUUUUGACCUCUCUCAAGUCUACCUAGCCUACUCUGCAGAGAGUGCAGAAGAAGCCAUGAGACCUAAGACUGCUGGGAAGGAUCGACCCAAGACAGGCCGACCCAAGUCUUCGAGAAAGAAGAGGAAAGAAGCAGACAUUGAUUCCCUUCUCCAGUAAAUUAGACAGAUGAAAAUAACACGAAUUUGAACUAAAUUCUCACAUGGAAGAGAAGCAGAGCAGAGGUCAUCUGCAUACUAAAUUGCAUUUAUUAUAACAUCAUUAUUGAGUACAAACAGUAUGUGGAUUUAAUGUUUUGUGUAUUUGCAGAUCUCAGUUAAAUAUUAUUGUGCUCACUGGCAGUUUUAAAUGUUGUGCAUGGUUUUACACUGGUGUACUUGUAGAGUUGUUUUGUUAACCAGAUAUAUGUAGCUAAUAUUAUAUAGCUGUAGUGUGUAUGGUAGAGUUUCUGAGAGAGAGAGAGAGAGAGAGAGUGAGAAUAGAGAGAGUAAUGUGAUAAUUUAUUACAGUUCAUUUAUUAUCAUUAAAUAUACAAUUACAGUACAGUUUCCUUUAUUGUUUUACUACCAUCUUUGUUAUCCAGUAUAAACACCUGAAUUUUCUCUGUAUGUUUUGAGCUUUAACUUUAUUGAUAUCCAAUACUUAUAAG